RNAcentral lists this ribosomal RNA (460 nucleotides) under uncultured bacterium. Its description in RNAcentral is "partial 16S ribosomal RNA". It matches the Rfam family "Bacterial small subunit ribosomal RNA", at positions 338 to 795 of the family's 1533-position model. The record is from RNAcentral.
CCUACGGGCGGCAGCAGUGAGGAAUAUUGGUCAAUGGACGAUAGUCUGAACCAGCCAAGUCGCGUGAAGGAUGACUGCCCUAUGGGUUGUAAACUUCUUUUAUAUGGGAAUAAAAUGUUCCACGUGUGUGAUUUUGUCUGUACCAUAUGAAUAAGGAUCGGCUAACUCCGUGCCAGCAGCCGCGGUAAUACGGAGGAUCCGAGCGUUAUCCGGAUUUAUUGGGUUUACAGGGAGCGUAGGUGGAUUGUUAAGUCAGUUGUGAAAGUUUGCGGCUCAACCGUAAAAUUGCAGUUGAAACUGGCAGUCUGGAGUGCAGUAGAGGUGGGCGGAAUUCGUGGUGUAGCGGUGAAAUGCUUAGAUAUCACGAAGAACGCCGAUUGCGAAGGCAGCUCACUGGACUGCAACUGACACUGAGGCUCGAAAGUGUGGGGAUCAAACAGGAUUAGAUACCCGUGUAGUC